CGCUAUGUGCGCCGCUCAGCGCUCAGCGGCCGUCCUGGCGUUGGCGGCCCUGCAUUCAGUGUACGCCUUCUCUGCGCGCCCGCUGGCUGGCGGGGAGUCCGUGAACUUGGGCUCCUUGCGGGGCAAGGUGCUACUUAUUGAGAACGUGGCAUCGCUCUGAGGCACAACGGUCCGGGACUACACCCAGAUGAAUGACCUGCAGAGGCGCCUCGGGCCCCGGGGCCUGGUCGUGCUCGGCUUCCCGUGCAACCAGUUUGGGCAUCAGGAAAACACCAAGAACGAGGAGAUCCUGAAUUGCCUCAAGUACAUCCGACCAGGCGGCGGGUUCGAGCCUAACUUCAUGCUCUUCGAGAAGUGCGAGGUGAAUGGCGAGAAGGCGCAUCCGCUCUUCCCCUUCCUUCGCGAGGCUCUGCCCACGCCCAGUGACGACGCCACUGCCCUCGUGACGGACCCCAAGUUCAUCACCUGGUCUGCGGUGUGCCGCAACGACGUCGCCCGGAACUUCGAGAAGUUCCUGGUGGGCCCAGACGGUGUGCCUGUGCGCAGGUACAGCCGCCGCUUUCUGACCAUCGACAUCGAGCCUGACAUC
RNA transcript from Hippopotamus amphibius kiboko, 589 nucleotides. It is a transcript of the gene named glutathione peroxidase 1-like, with no coding region annotated. The transcript has a single exon. NCBI's taxonomy places the organism in Eukaryota, Metazoa, Chordata, Mammalia, Artiodactyla, Hippopotamidae. The record is from RefSeq and is a predicted model, not a curated record.